RNAcentral lists this non-coding RNA (21 nucleotides) under Xenopus laevis (African clawed frog). Its record names the gene xla-miR-92b-3p. Lineage: Eukaryota; Metazoa; Chordata; Amphibia; Anura; Pipidae. The record is from miRBase by way of RNAcentral. RNAcentral also lists the same sequence under 2 other names.
UAUUGCACUCGUCCCGGCCUC